CGAUGAUAGCCCACUUGUGGGUGGAUUAGUGGCGAACGGGUGAGUAACACGUGAGUAACCUGCCCUUGACUCUGGGAUAAGCCUGGGAAACUGGGUCUAAUACCGGAUAUGACUCCUCAUCGCAUGGUGGGGGGUGGAAAGCUUUUUGUGGUUUUGGAUGGACUCGCGGCCUAUCAGCUUGUUGGUGAGGUAAUGGCUUACCAAGGCGACGACGGGUAGCCGGCCUGAGAGGGUGACCGGCCACACUGGGACUGAGACACGGCCCAGACUCCUACGGGAGGCAGCAGUGGGGAAUAUUGCACAAUGGGCGCAAGCCUGAUGCAGCGACGCCGCGUGAGGGAUGACGGCCUUCGGGUUGUAAACCUCUUUCAGUAGGGAAGAAGCCUUUCGGGGUGACGGUACCUGCAAAAGAAGCGCCGGCUAACUACGUGCCAGCAGCCGCGGUAAUACGUAGGGCGCAAGCGUUAUCCGGAAUUAUUGGGCGUAAAGAGCUCGUAGGCGGUUUGUCGCGUCUGCCGUGAAAGUCCGGGGCUCAACUCCGGAUCUGCGGUGGGUACGGGCAGACUAGAGUGAUGU
RNAcentral lists this ribosomal RNA (576 nucleotides) under Arthrobacter sp. RNAcentral describes it as "bacterial SSU rRNA". It matches the Rfam family "Bacterial small subunit ribosomal RNA", at positions 67 to 652 of the family's 1533-position model. The record is from RNAcentral. Lineage: Bacteria; Bacillati; Actinomycetota; Actinomycetes; Micrococcales; Micrococcaceae.